GCAUUUCCUAGUUUUUCAGCCACAUAAAGAAAAAAUGGCUUAUCAAGAUUAGGGAUCCCUAGGGCUGGAGCUGAUCCCAAUUUCUUUGAGAGCAUUAAAAGCUUGUUUACAAUUGCUAUCCCAUUCAAAAGGAUCUAUGUCUGCUCCUUUCAGGGCCUCGUAUAAAGGCUUUGCUAUGUGCCCAAGUACAGGCACUCACAAAUGGCAAAAUCCUGCCAUUCCUAGGAAAUCCUGCAGCUGCUUUCUAGUUUGGGGUUCUGGAAUGUUCAAGAUAGCUUCCCUUCAUUCUGGUGCUAUUUCCUGGGUACCAGGGGUUAGGACAUAUCUUAAGUAUUUAACCUCUUGAGUUGAAAUCUGGGCCUUAUGUGGUGAGACCCUAUACCCAUUAGCUCCCAGAAAAUUUAGCAAUUUAAUGGUAUUUUUGGCUGAGUCUCUUUUGGUUGUAUUAGCAACCAACAAGUCAGCCACAUAUUGGGUAAUAGCACGCUUAUUUAAUUGUAACAUCCUUAAUUCUCUAGCCAAUUUAUUUCCAAACAGAUGAGGACUGUCCCUAAACCCCUGGGGAAGAAUUGUCCAAGUUAAUUGAGAAACCAAAUGACUGUCAGAAUCAGUCCAUUUAAACACAAACACGAAUUGUGAAUCAGUGUCUACUGGAAUGCAAAAAGAGGCAUCCUUAAGAUCUAAGACUGUAAACCAAUCAGCAUCCCCAGAGACCUGGGCUAACAGUAUGUAGGGAUUGGGCACUAUAGGAUGUAUGAGAAUGACAGCUUCAAUGACAGCUUGAAGAUCUUGAACAAAUCUGUAGUCUCCAUUCAACUUCUUCACUGGCAAGACUGGCAUAUUACAAGGAGACUCACAGGGCCUUAACAACCUGAAUUGCAAAAACUUAGCCAUUAAUGGUUGUCUUUUUCAAGGGAUGGGGCACCAGGCUUAAAUUGGAUGUAAACUGGAGGAACGUUUAAUGCUUUGCCUAGAAUCUCAAUAUCCCAUACUGUAGAAUUUACUUGGGAGGCUACUUCAAUAAGUAAACUAGGCAAGUCCCCUAUUGACUUUCUUCCCUUAUCGUAGGAAAGAAGAAGAGCAAUCCCUCAUCUGCCUUUUGAUUUUCAAAAGAUAACACUGCAUCUGGGUCAACAAAUGCCUUCCCAACAGGUGGUGGGGCAUUUGGGCAUGAUAACAAAGGCAUGUGAGAAAAACCAAGAUCCCUGAAGAGCAGCUUAAAGGACAGUUAUAAUGGCUAGAGCUGGAAACACAUCAUGUAUCCAGAAGGAAAAGGGCAAGAAGAUUGCAGGAUCCACAGACCUGGUAUUCCCAAACAGCUGAACCAGUAUCAGUACACCUCUGGAUUUCCCAUUACUUGAGAAAAAUAAACUCUUUCGUUUUAGCCACU
This 1390-nucleotide long non-coding RNA is filed under the name Homo sapiens (human). RNAcentral describes it as "HSALNT0121652". Lineage: Eukaryota; Metazoa; Chordata; Mammalia; Primates; Hominidae. The record is from RNAcentral.